RNAcentral lists this transfer RNA (53 nucleotides) under Liposcelis entomophila. RNAcentral describes it as "tRNA-Ser". Lineage: Eukaryota; Metazoa; Arthropoda; Insecta; Psocodea; Liposcelididae. The record is from RNAcentral.
AUUAUAAUAGCAUUAAAAAUUUUUAUUAUUUGAAUUAAUAAGACAAUAUAUUA